This 599-nucleotide long non-coding RNA is filed under the name Homo sapiens (human). Its description in RNAcentral is "HSALNT0025572". The record is from RNAcentral. Lineage: Eukaryota; Metazoa; Chordata; Mammalia; Primates; Hominidae.
GUCGAAUUCUUUCUCCUGAGGAAGCAAGAGCUGAAGUUCCUGUGGGCUCCUGUGGAUGCCGCGGAAAACUCAGGGUAUCUCAGAUCUCUGCUGCCACUAACACUGAAGAGACCAUCAAGCUUCAGAUGAUCGUGCAACAAAGGUUCCAGCCAGUUCUAGGUGAAGACACCACUGCUGGCCAUGAAAGAGCUACCCUGCCUCCACUAGACAGAGCAGGGUGAGAGUUCCAUGAUCCCCAAUAGGUAGAGACUAUGCCCCAAGCCAGCAUGAGGCAGUUACAGAAAAAAUACCAUUGUUCCCUCUACUUCCUAUAAAGAUUUAUGGGGAUCACAUUUCUCAGGGGGAGAUGAGGCAGGAAAAUAGAGUAUGGGGACAGAGAACAUAAGGCCAAUUCACACUUCAGCUAUGACAGGAAAUAUCCUCUCCAUAGAGUGUAGGCCAAGUAACUAACUUUGUAACUUAGUCUCUCCAUUUACAUAGAGUGCACCCGAAGUAACCAAUGCAAUCCUCUAGAGGUUAUUUAAACUCCCCAAAAUUCUGUAAAGGGGCCCUUGAGCCCCUAUGCUCGGGCCGCUCCCACACUGUGGAGUGUACUUUCA